This 72-nucleotide transfer RNA is filed under the name Candidatus Riflebacteria bacterium GWC2_50_8. Its description in RNAcentral is "tRNA-Cys". It matches the Rfam family "tRNA". Rfam says of the family: Transfer RNA (tRNA) molecules are approximately 80 nucleotides in length. Lineage: Bacteria; Candidatus Rifleibacteriota. The record is from RNAcentral. RNAcentral also lists the same sequence under 3 other names.
GGCGGCAUAGCCAAGUGGUAAGGCGAAGGUCUGCAAAACCUUUAUUCAUCGGUUCAAAUCCGAUUGCCGCCU